RNAcentral lists this long non-coding RNA (1768 nucleotides) under Glycine max (soybean). RNAcentral's name for it is "long non-coding RNA (GMAX_LNC003617)". The record is from RNAcentral. Lineage: Eukaryota; Viridiplantae; Streptophyta; Magnoliopsida; Fabales; Fabaceae.
AACAAGCCAAGUGAAAGAGAGAAGAAAAGUCAAAGACAAUGUCAGGGAUCAUUCACAAGAUUGAGGAGACCCUUCAUGUGGGAGGCCACAAGAAGGAGGAGGAGCACAAGGGUGAGCAGCACCAUGGUGGAGAAUACAAAGGGGAGCAUCAUGGUGAACACAGUACUGAAUACAAAGGAGAGCAUCAUGUUGGUGAGCACAAGCCGGAGCACCAUGGAGGAGAAGAGCACAAAGAGGGGUUCCUAGACAAGAUCAAGGACAAGAUCCACGGCGAGGAGGGUGGCGCCACCGCCGAGGGCGAGAAGAAGAAGAAGAAGAAGGAGAAGAAGAAGCAUGAACAUGGCCAUGACAGCAGCAGCAGCAGUGACAGUGAUUAGAUUAUCUCCCACUGCUGCAUCACCUAUAUAUCUUAUAAGGUAUACUUUUGUUUUGCAUUGUUAUGUUAUGCUCUAUCCAAAUUCUCCACAUUUUUCUAUUACAACAUGGGUGAUGAAUCACGAAAUUUAUGAUCUUAUUUUCUUCUAUCACACUUGAGCUAACAAAUCAAAUUAUGCAUUUUGGCACAAUGGCACCCCUGCUCGUUGAGAUCUCAUUUUUAGCCUAAUAUAACCGACUGAAGAUUUUAUAUUCAUGGAAUAUUCGUCAAACUUUCUUUUCUAUAUAUAUAUAUAUAAUUCAUCAAUUUCUGCUCCUGCAUGUAUAUCUUCUAUAUUAAAAUGGAUAAUGUUAAGUGUAUACUGCAUUUUUGAGAGAUAAGAAAAAAGAAAAGAAAAAAAAGACGAAAUGAGGAAGAAGUAAAAGGUAAAGAAAGAUGAUAAAAAAAUUGUGAUGGAAAAAAGAUUAGAAAAACAUGAAAAUUGAAAUAUAAGAAAGAAGUAUAUAAAAUUAGGAUUUUUUUUCUAAAUAAAUAAUGACUAACGUUUGCUAGCAUAUGUUCUAAUUUUUUUUUUUCCUCCUUGUCUGAUGCAGGUGUAUGGGACCAUAGUAGUGAGGGCUGUGUCUUUCUCUUUUUUUCCUACUUGUCAUUUAUAUUUAUGAGCGAGAGAAAUAGUGCGUGUAUCUGGUUGCUAAUUCGAGUGCUAUUAGUCUGUGGUUUCGUUGGUUUGUAACCCCUCUGCUUUGGUUAUGCUGGAUUGUAUAUUAUCCUUAAAGAAAUAAAAGAUUAAAUUAUCAAUGCGUAUUAGUAGUAUUACAUGGUAUCUAUUGUGGUUAGAUCAGCAGAAAAAAAAAAUUCUAUUGUGAUUACAUUGUUAUUCCAAGUUCCAACAUAUCGCAAUUGAUGUGACUAUAAUUAUGAUCACCGUGAUUCCAAAAACAAUGAUAUUAUGAUUGAAAUUAUGGUCCGCAAAUUAUUUUUUAAAACCUUUGAUCAUUUCCACCAAAAAAUGUUGAUAAACUUAAUUUUUUUUACUUGUGAUCAAUUUAAUUAUAGUAUAACUUUAUAAUUGUUACAAAUAUUUAAUAUUUGUGAUUUUCAGAUUUGUAUAUUUUUUUAAAACAAAAUUAGUAUAAACGACUACACCCACUCGUAAAGAACAUGCUCAUGGUCGUUCCCAUAAUUUCAUCACAAGUGGUGGAUAACAUUUUUUUUCUCUAACAAAUUAACAACGCUUCCGCUUUAUCCCUCACUUUUGUGCCUAUAAAAUACCAUUCAAUAGUAUAUACCAUACCAAAAACAAAAACAAGAGAGAAUUAGCUAAGUGAAAGAGAGAAAAAAACAGAGACAAUGUCAGGGAUCAUUCACAAGAUUGAGGAAACCCUUCAUGUG